GAGGUCAAGCAAAUCCCAUAAAGUUGUUCUCAGUUCGGAUUGUAGUCUGCAACUCGACUACAUGAAGCUGGAAUCGCUAGUAAUCGUAGAUCAGCAUGCUACGGUGAAUACGCUCCCGGGUCUUGUACACACCGCCCGUCACACCACGAGAGUUUGUAACACCCGAAGCCGGUGGAGUAACCUUUUAGGAGCUAGCCGUCGAAGGUGGGACAAAUGAUUGGGGUGAAGUCGUAACAAGGUAGCCGUAUCGGAAGGUGCGGCUGGAUCACCUCCUUU
RNAcentral lists this ribosomal RNA (276 nucleotides) under Staphylococcus aureus. Its description in RNAcentral is "partial 16S ribosomal RNA". It matches the Rfam family "Bacterial small subunit ribosomal RNA", at positions 1259 to 1533 of the family's 1533-position model. The record is from RNAcentral. Lineage: Bacteria; Bacillati; Bacillota; Bacilli; Caryophanales; Staphylococcaceae.